UGUCCAAUGCGGGAAUCGAACCCGGGUCCUAGUGGUCGAAAACCAAACGGUUUAACACACUGAAGUGUAAUUGGGAC
Cordylochernes scorpioides is the source of this 77-nucleotide non-coding RNA. Lineage: Eukaryota; Metazoa; Arthropoda; Arachnida; Pseudoscorpiones; Chernetidae. The record is from the annotation of a GenBank genome assembly.